This 16485-nucleotide long non-coding RNA is filed under the name Triticum aestivum (bread wheat). Its description in RNAcentral is "long non-coding RNA (TAES_LNC016495)". The stretch from base 9244 to 9331 matches the Rfam family "MIR1120/MIR1122 microRNA precursor family". Lineage: Eukaryota; Viridiplantae; Streptophyta; Magnoliopsida; Poales; Poaceae. The record is from RNAcentral.
UUUUUUUUUUUUUGAGGUGAAGGAGAAAGGAGUUAUGCGAAACUUGGUUUGGGUCUCUCCCGCAAUUUAGGCGAUGCGCACUUUUCAUUUUGCUUUCUAGGGUGCCGAGGAGACCUCCUAUUCCACGCGUAACAGACUCGGAAACGUAGUCUCAAAAAAAAAAAGACUAGGAAACGUGCACCUCAGCGUAGGGACGGGUGUUGGGCCUCAAUCUCUGGCCCACCUCCGUUUCUUUCGUUCGCUGGACUAUCUCGUGUGUGAGCAAAACAAAAAUCGAAUUUCUUGUAACAUCAGUUGAAAUGUCAAGAAAAAAGCAUAUUUUUUCGCAAAUAAGGUUCUGGAUUUAUAUUGAAAAUUUCCAACGAUGGAAGACAUCUGAAAAAACAAGAUUUUUUUUAUUUUCGGCUGAAAAAAAGUUACAACAAGGUUCUAACAAAGCCAAGCAAAACUCAAUCUCCAGAAGCCGAAGGUGAGCCGUUGCUGCCGCUCCAUCACUGAAGCCGGCCUGAUACUGUAUCCUACCAUCGGCGGGAAAAUCUUCGUGCUAAAGUUCAGUUGGAACAAUGCUCUGGAGAAAAAGCCAACAUCAUAGGAGCCUUGCAAUUCAACAAUGCUCUGCUCGUUUAAAUCUUAUCAAGUUCAAAGUAGCAGACUGUCUAGCUACAGGUGGUGCACAACCAGGCCAUGCGACCACUGUAAACCUACUGGUUUCGCCAGUUGCUUUGGUGAACGGAAUGCCAAUUAUACAAAAAAAAGGUAAAUAAGAACUUGCAGUUCACCAACCGUGACAGCAAGAAUUUAAAGCAGAGUAAACCAGUCGCAUCAAAGCAAAUACGAGCGUGACAUUAGAACCAACAACGCGUAUAAUACUAGUGUGACAAAACAUUGCUGCGCUGCUACUCGACAUUCUUCAGAUGCUGCUGGAGCUAGGAAUGCAUUCUCAAAUCAACUAGGAAUCAAUAGAUCAAGAGCAUACAAGAGCUACAGCUAACUUACAGUACUAGAAUAAAGACCAAGGCCAUCAUCAACUCAUAUCCUCAUCAGAAGAUUCACUCCCUCCCGUUGUUGGAUCGAAUACAUCAGAGUCGCUGUCCUCACAAUAGAAGGGAAAUUGUAUAUCUUCCCUGCCCAUAUCAUAUAUCCCUUUUAAUGGGUGCCUCAAUACACCCAUUCCUUGCUUCUUACAUGCAUAACAUUCACCUGCCAAAGUAAAUCACAAUGUUAGAAUCUUUUUAGGUCACUACAAGUCAUAAGGUGAAAAUUUUCCAUACCAUAUCGAUCUUGCUCCAAAGGAUAACAGGCAUAUAGUUUUAUCAUACAUAUUGAUUUGACCUCGGCGAAGUACAUCACCGAUGUCCAAUCAACUAAGCCAGGCUUCUUUAUCUUGACAGUAAAGUUGAAGUGAUGAAAUAUCUUUAAAUAAUUCUCCACACUAAAACAUUGAUGGACAAGCUCGUCAAAUUCAUAAUCAACUCCCUAAGAUGAAACAAAUGUUAGUCAUAGUUCUCUACGUCCCAACAAUAAAGAGGAUUUCAGGGCGGGCGUGGAGAACCUUAAGAUCAUCUUUGCUCUCAAUGUAUCUUUUGAAAGCCACCAUCGCCUCCUCGCUCAUCCAUCGUUUCGCAUUUGCAGCAAUUUCUUCUUUCUUAGAAGCAUAAGUAUGUUGUCCUCGUGCUUGGACUGAUUGGGUUUGUUUUUCAACUUGCAUGUCUGCAUAUUCUCUAAUAGUUUCAAAGUCGAGUGGCCAAUAUCCUUGUGCUUGGAAAAAUUGAGCUCGUUCUUCAUCUUGUCUAAUCUCAAAAUCUAUAUCACCUUCAUGGUCAAGUGGAUAAAAUUCUCCAAUUAUCCCCUGCCUGGAUAGAAAUAUCAGAAUCCGGUCAGCAAAACAUGGUUCAUAAUGUGGUCUAGAUAGAUAUACGAGACAACAUGGGACAAGAUGUAAUAAACUGAUUCUCAAUUUAAUUAAAAUUGCAUUAAUAAACAAAGCACUCUUUGCUUAGAUAUAGGAGAGAAGUCUUGUAAUAAACCGAGCUUGCUUUAUUCACUUUGAACCAAAGCACUGUUUGCUUAGAUAUAGGAGAGAAGUCUUGUAAUAAACCUUGCUUUAUUCACUUUGAACCUUUGAUUAUAGUAUUCUUGUAUGGAUAUAAUACAAGUUCACUACACGGAGUUUACUAACCAGGUUCUAGAAAUACAGAUGAUGUGGGGUUCACUAUGCCUAUCAACUGAGCUAUUCUGAAUUAUGACAUGCGGAAGACGAUCACAUAGCUCCAAUUAAAGCUAUUUGUUGACCUAAAGAAACAUAACAACACGACCGUUUUCAGAAUAUCAGUAUGCAUCAUAUGAAAUUAUGAAUCGACUGUUUCAGCAUGCAUCACCACCCUAGGUCACAAUUGAUUUACCUCCAUGCUUUAGUCAAUGUCAAACAAUUUGCUACCUAUUAGUGCAACCAUACGGGUCAUAAAAAGUACCCAAAACAAACAAUUAUUAACUUACGAAAAGGAAGGACAAAAUAAAGAUGGACAUACUCGUCAGCUGAUUCAAGUGUGUGAGGUGUGUCGUUCAGCGUGAGGGUCUCAAACUUAGACAGAUCCUUGCUUGCACCCCCAAGCUCAAUGCUGCUCACCUCCUCGACAUGCUCCCGAGCCCUGAUGAAAACAAGCACGAUAAUGUGUCAGUGACUAUUAUGGUGAGGGUGGUGGAAAUAUAGCUAGGAUUUGUUGGCAUUAUCUGUUUUUUUCCAUGAGAAGGACAGGGCAACAAAAUAGUUAAUACACUGUGAUUUCAAACGGAUAUUGAACACACAGAUUGAUUCGCCACACACUCGUAUUUGCUUUGAUGUGACUGGUUUACUCUGCUUUGAAUACUCCCUGGGACCGAGGCUGUGUCUCACCGUUGAUUGAGCUAGUUCACAAACUAAAAGAAAACAAACAAUGGCAGGGAGGUGAGGGGGAGGGAAUCUCACCCAGUUUCAUUUUCGUUCGAAGAGGACGCCGGAGAGCCGGCGGGAGGUGAAGGGGGUCGGCCGCCGGCCAUCGCGAGGAGCCGGCGGAGGACAACCUAGGAGAAAGGAGUUAUGCGGUGAAACUUUGGUUGGGUCUCUCCAGCAAUUUAGGCGAUGAACACUUUUUGUUUUGUUUUCUAACUAUAGGGAGGNNNNNNNNNNNNNNNNNNNNNNNNNNNNNNNNNNNNNNNNNNNNNNNNNNNNNNNNNNNNNNNNNNNNNNNNNNNNNNNNNNNNNNNNNNNNNNNNNNNNNNNNNNNNNNNNNNNNNNNNNNNNNNNNNNNNNNNNNNNNNNNNNNNNNNAGCCUAGCGACGGAUGUUGGGCUUCAAUCGCUGGCCCACCUCGGUUUCUUUCGUUCGCUUCGCUGGACUGUCUGUGUGUGAGAAAAAAAAAACGAAUUUCUUGUUCUUUUUAACAUGGUAUAUAUACUCAGACGGUUAUACAUACACAUAUAUUCACCCCUAUAAUCAUACACACGCACACCCUAUCCCUAUUUUUAUAUUGUGAUCCAAAUUCAAGUAAUCCCUCUGUUCCCAUAAUGUAGUGCAUUUUUUUUUUCAAAUAUCAAACCUCCCAAACUUUGUCCAAGUUCAUGGAGAAAAAUAUUUACAAUUAGAAUGUCAAAUAUAUAUAUCAUUAGAUUCAUCACAAGAUGUUGUUUCAUAUUUCAUAAAUUUGGUAUUGUAGAUUAAAUAUUUUUCUCUAUAACUUGAUCAAAGUUUACGAAGUUUGACAUUUUAAAAAAUAUAUAUGCACUACAUUAUGGAACAGAGGGAGUAUAAAGAUAAAGACAACUUCUGACGAGCGAGCGGAGUUAGGCCCCUCGUUGGUAGGCUUGGGCCGAUGGAUCAGUAUUGACCUAGAUCACAUGUGUUAUAUAUAUAUAUAUAUAUCCUUUGUAAGCCGUCGGACGGGAUAAGUUGAGCAGUUGUAAAUCCUAUGCGUUUCUAAGGGCAUCUCCAACGGCGGCCCACAAAUUUUCUUCCUCAUCCAUCUGCUGGCAAGGGGGGGGGGGGGCAGUUCGCGGACACAGUUGCGGGAGGCCACCAGCCAACACUGCCCGCAUACAUUUAACCACUCUUUGAACUAACCAGACAAAAUACAUGCAAACACGGCGGAUUUCAUACGAAUGGGACGAAAUUCAUUAUAUUUUGGACAUAUUUUUAACUUAAAAUGAUACUGGACUAAGAUAAAAACUAGUCUACGGCCGGUGCAGGCGGAUAUCCAUUCCGACGACAUGGAUACCUUUGACUAAUCCAUGGCCAGCCACGACGGAUCUUCAUUGUCGUCCCCCUGCCCAGUAGGGGCGAGCCACGAAGGUAUAUGCUUCAGCACAAAGGGCGACUGGCUUCCCCACGGCUCAUCGAAGUAGAACCGCCGGUUGAUGCUUUAGCCGGAGAGGAAGGGUGCCUAUGCUGCCCAGAUCAGAGUUGGUUUUGGGGAAAGGGGCGACGGUGGCCUUCGAGAGGGCAAGACACCGGCGUCGCCUCGGCGGUGGCCUCCCGUGUUCUACUUCUCCUCGAUGAUGGCGGCGGCCACGGGCGUGCUGGGCGUCGUCUCGUCAAUGUCCACAUAGCCGGCUUCUUUCUUCACGCGCGGAUAUCCAUUCUGAUGACAUGGAUACCUUUGACUAAUCUACGACCAGCCACGGCGGAUCUCCAUUGUCCUUCCCCUGCCCAGCAGGCAUGAGCCACGAAGGUAUAUGCUUCAGCACAAAGGGCGGAUGGCUUCCCCACGGCUCAUCGAAGUAGAACCGCUAGCUGAUGCUUUAGCCGGAUCAGACUUGGUUUUGGGGUAGGGACGACGAUGGCCUUCGAGAGGGCAAGACAUCGGCGUCGCCUCGGCGGUGGCCUUCAUGGGACCCAAGCGGCGGUGGCCUCCCGUGUUACUUCUCCUUGAUGAUGGCGGCGGCCGUGGGCGUUCUGGGCAUCGUCUCGUCAAUGUCUGCGUAGCCGGCUUCUUUCUCCAUCGGUAGGGCGCGGUUACGCGCGCGUUGACGAUGGAUGGAGGGAUCGCAGGCACGGGAGGCACCGUACGACACGACGUCAUCCACGACAGCCAAGAUGUUCGUGCUGCCAUCCCCCACCCCUCCUGCCGGCCUGGAGCAACUCGCCACUCCUCGGCAAGCUGAACCACGCGCCGGCGUGGAGCUUCAGCCUCCGCGAGCUGGCCUGCAACGGCCUGGAACGCCGAUGGAGGUGGAACAGACAGUUGGCUGGCUCGCCAGCUUUUAUGUUGGAGAAUUUUUCUUCCUACUAGCAAGAUGCCCGUGCGUUGCACGGAACAUUAAGAUCUUGUGGGAGAAAAGGAUGAACAAGGGAAGGUAUUAUCUGCAAAUGUGGAGAGGAGUGCAGGUAAAUUGUCAUAGUUUCCUUCCUAUCCCUUAGAUAUAGAUCGGACAGUCUAUAUUGCAGGAUGGCAGGCACACCAUCAUCACCAACUCUGCUUUUUAUAAGAGUAGAGACUCGUCGGAUGCCAUGGAGGAAAAUGUUAAAGGAGGAAAUGGAGAGCGAAGGUGUGGUGCGGUUCUUGUCGGGCGUCUCGCACCGUUUAAAUAGCGAGCGGAUGUGAGGAGCCAACCGACUUGUGAAUAAUGAUGGCCACCUCGAGAACGGACGUGUGACCGAAGUAGGUAUCUCAUCACACGGGUGGGUUAAUAGAGGACAGUGGGCAGACUUCAGCCAUUUGGAUGCGACGAGGAGGCGUGCUCACCUGAGCGUGCAGCAGGCGGCGCCCUCGACCGGCGUGCCGUUUCAAUGGUAGAGGCAGUGAGAGGUUGCGUACGCUCUGAUCCGGCUUCAAUGUGAAGCGGCCGCUCUACAACGGCAUAAAUGCGUGCAGCUGGCACCAGACGGGAACACGCGCUGGCAAGGUAUAGGGGGUUGGGGUGGGAUCAGGAUGGUCUGAAGCGGGCGUCAGUGUUGUCCAGACGCCCGCAAAGCCCCCCAUAUUUGUCUCCGGAUUACGGGAGAAAACACGUCCGGAUCGCUAGGCGGAUCGACACAUACCUUCUACGAUCUGGGGUUUUCCACGUUAAAUCCUCGUGUCUCAUGUGUUGAUUUUGACCUUCGUCAUUUGAUUUGCUUGUCGUACCUCUAACACCUGCUCCACCAAAGAUGCCCCCGUGCUGUGGAACUGUGGCGAGCCAUGGAGAAACAUUGGAGCUUGCCGGACCUAAAUUCUGUAAGGCCGACGGGUAUUGAGUGGCUGUUCGACGUGUUGUACCCCAUGCAGGCUGAUGAUCGCGUGACGGUCCUUAUGGUGUUGUGGCACGCUUGGCAUAUCAGCAAUGAAAUCGUCCAUGAGAAGAGGCCUCCCCCAGUGGAGGUAUCAUACCGGUUUCUGCUCAGCAAUGAAGCAUCCCUGGCUGCUAUCCAGCGAAACCCGGACGGUAAUCACAUGAAGGGCAAGAUGGUGCUUGCGCCCGCUGCAAGGAUGGCACCGGCAAGGCAUCAGGAGAACGCACCAGUGCCAGACAGCAUGUGGCAGGCCCAGCUCCUGGGCGUGUUAAACUGAACGUCGACGGUUCCUACUGCCCCGCCUCUGGUGGUGCGGGUGCAGGCAUGAUCUUGAGGGACAGCAAUGGAGCGAUCAUUUUUCCGGCAUGCAGAAACCUUCUCUUCUAUGCAGAUCCCUUGCAAGCAGAGUUGGUGGCUUGUCUCGAGGGCCUCAAUUUUGCUAUGCAAUGGUCUCCUUUGCCUGUGGACGUGGAGAUGGACAGCCUGAUUGCUGUGCAGGCUAUCCAGUCAAUGACUGAUGAUAAAUCGCAACAUGCGAUGAUGAUUACUGAAGCUAAGAGACUUCUUGGUGAAAGGGGAAGCUCAAUUGCUCAUAUUAGUAGGAGACAAAACCGUGUUGGGCAUAGACUAGGUGAAUUUGGUCGAGUAGAAGCUAGGACUGCCGUAUGGUUAAAAUCAGGACCUGCUAAUGUACUGGAACUUUGUAUGGAGGAUCUUCCUCCAAGUUGAGCAAUGAAAUUCCUUUUGACCCCGCAAAAAAAAGGUUCUAAAUUUUAUAUUCAAAAUUUCCGACGAUAAAAGACAUCUGAAAAAAAUUUACAACCAGAUUCUAACAAAACCAAGCAAAACUCAAUCUCCACAAAAAUGGACUAUAUGUCACUACAGGCGCGGAACGUCCUCUGCAAUGGUAGAAUCAGAUUCUACUACUCAGGUGCAGGCUGUUAACAGAGAAGGAUAUGACCGGUCAGGUAGAUUGACUUCUUUGCUCGUUUAAAUCUUGUCAAGUUCAAAGUAGCAGACGGUCAGGUAGAAUCGGAUUCUACUACUCUGGCUGCAGGUGGUGCACAACCAGGCCAUGCCGCCACUGCAAUUCUGCAAACCUGCUGGUUUGGCCGUUUGCUUGGCCAAUUAUACCCAAAAAAGAAGGUAAAUAAGAACUUGCAGUUCACCGACUGUGACAGCAACAAUUUAAAGCAGAGUAAACCAGUCGCAUCAAAGCAAAUACGAGCGUGACAUUAGAACCAACAACACAUAAUACCAGUGUUACAAACCAUUGCUGCGCUGCUACUCGACAUUCUUCAGAUGCUGCUGGAGCUAGGAAUACAUUCUUAAAUCAACUAGGAAUCAACAGAUCAAGUGCAUACAAGAGCUACAGCUAACUUCUUUUCUUUUUUUUCUUUUUUUUUGAGGGGAGAGCUACAGCUAACUUACAGUACUAGAAUAAAGGACAAGGCCAUCAUCAACUCAUAUCAUCAUCAGAAGAUAAACUCCGGACUGUUGCUGGAUCGAAUUCAUCAGAGUCGCUGUCCUCAUAAUAGAAGGGAGGUUCUACAUCUUCCCUGCCCAUAUCGUAUAUCCCUUUUAACGGGUGCCUCAAUACACCCAUUCCUUGGUUCUCACAGGCAUAACUUUCACCUGCCAAAGUAAAUCACAAUGUUAGAAUCUUUUUAGGUCACUACAAGUCAUAUGGUGAAAAGUUUCCAUACCAUAUUGAUUUUCCUUCAAAGGAUAACAGGCAUAGAGUUUUAUCAUACAUAUCGAUUUGACCUCGGCGAAGUACAUCGCCGACAUCCAAUCAGCUGAGCCAGGCUUCUUUAUCUUGACAGUAAAGUUGAAGUGAUGGAAUAUCGUUAAAUAAUCCUCCAUAUUAAAACAUUGAUGGACAAGCUCCUCAAAUUCAUAAUCAAGUCCCUAAGAUGACACAAGUGUUAGUCAUAGUUCUCUACAGUACCAACAAUAAAAAGCAUUUUAGAGCAGACGUGCUCUCAAUGUAUCUUGUGAAAGCCACCAUCGCCUCCUCGCUCAUCCAUCGUUUCGCAUUUGCAGCAAUUUCUUCUUCCUUAGAAGCGUAAGUAUGUUGUCCCCGUGCUUGGACUGAUUGAGUUUGUUUUCCAACUUUCAUGUCUGCAUAUUCUCUGUUAGUUUCAAAGCCGAGUGGCCAAUAUCCUUGUGCUUGGAAAAACUGAGCUCGUUCUUCAGCUUGUCUUCUCUCAAAUUUUAUAUCACCUUGAUGGUCGAGUGGAUAAAAUCCUCCAAAUAUCUCCUGCCUAGACAGAAAUAUAAGAAUCCGGUCAGCAAAACAUGGUUAAUAAUGUAAUCUAGAUAGAUAUACAAGAAAGUGCACGUAGUGAUACAACAUGGGACAAGAUGCAAUAAAAUGAUUCUCAAUUUAAUUAAACUUGCAUUAAUAGACUAUAAGCACUCUUUGCUUAGAUAUAGGAGAAAAGUCAUGUAAUAAACCUUGCCUUAUUCACUAUGAACCUUUGAUUAUAGUAUUUGUGUAUGGAUAUAAGACAGGUUCACUACGUGGGGUUCACUAACCAGGUUCUAGAAAUACGGAUGAUGUGGGGUUCACUAUGCGUAGCAACUGAGCUAAUCUGCAUUAUGACAUGCGAAAGACAAUCGCAUAGCUCCAUUUAAAGCUAUUUGUUGACCUAAAGAAAACAUAACAACACAACUGUUUUCUGAAUAUCAGUAUGCAUCAUAUGAAAUUAUGAACCGACUGUUUCAGCAUGUAUCACCACCCUAGGCCAAACAAUUUACAUCCAUGCUUUAGUCAACGUCUACUGUGACUAAAUUUGAAGCUUGAAAGUCCUAAGAAAACAGAUAUCAAUAAUCGAUCUUCAAUGCACGAGGAAAGUGUGUAUGCCGAGAAGAAGUUGUUUGAAUCAAACGAAUUAUCCACAAAUUCUUGCUACAAUUGUUUACAUAAUUCAUUUUCCAUCAUAAUCUCAUAAUCGUGGUGGCAUCCUCACCACCUCAAGGAGAAGGUAACCAAAUCUACUCCCUCCGUCCCAUAAUGUAAGACGUUUUUUGACACUAGUAGUAGUGUCAAAAAACGUCUUACAUUAUGGGACGGAGGGAGUAGCAGAUAUGGAUACAUGCCACCAGUCUCAGGAGAGAACAACCAUGAUAGGGUGAGAUUGUUACCAAACACACCCAACAAGUACCCGUUGUACAACCAUAUGGGUCAUAACAAGUACUCCCUCCGUUCCAAAUUACUCGUCGCUAAAAUGGAUGUAUCUAGAAUUAAAAUACAUCUAGAUACAUCCAUACGUGUGACAAGUAAUUCAGAACGGAGGGAGUACCCAUUAGUGCAACCAUACGGGUCAUAAAAAGUACCCAGCACUUCAACAAAGCAGUUGUUAAUAACUUACAAAAGGAAGAUGGACAUACCCGUCAGCUGAUUCAAGUGUGUGAGGUGUGUCAUUCAGCGUCAGGGUCUCAAACCUGGACAGAUCCUUGCUUGUAUCCCCAAGCUCACGGCUGCUCACCUCCUCCACAUGCUCCGGGACCCUGAUCAAAACAAGCACGAUGAUGUGUCAGGUGACUAUUACGACGAAGAUGUAGAAACAUGGCUAGGAUGGUAGAAACAUAGCUAGGAUUUGUUGGCAUUUUCUGUUUUCCUCAUGAGAAAGAUGGUGCAACAAAUUUAAUUUGACCAACCAAAACAAAAUUUGACCAACAGGGACUAGCCCCUGUGGCAUAUUGAUUCAGAGGAAACAACCCAGGUGCAUGCAAUGGAACCCGGAUGGCAGGCUGGGUGCAAAGCUGAGCGCACGCCACAGCCAACCACAACCAGUUCCUGGAUAAACAAAAACUACAACCAUAGUACUCCCUCCGUCUGAAAAUACUUGUUAUCAAAAUGGACAAAAAGAAAUGUAUCUAAAACUAAAAUACAUAUAGAUACAUUCCCUUUUAUUUAUUUUGAUGACAAGUAUUUCCGGAUGGAGGGAGUAUAUCAAAAUGCCUCACCGCCAACAAUAUUUUUUGACAGAGAUACAUGUCUGUGAUUGACAAAAAAAAGGAGACUCCCAAGGGGCCUAUACGAUCAGCACGUCGCUCGGACUGGGACUGCAGCUUCCCUGGACGCAAUUAAAGAUUGAGCCAGUUCACAAAGUAAAAGAAAAGAAACAAUGCAGGGAGAUGGGGGUGGGGGGGAGUCUGACCCAGUUCCAGUUUCGCUCGAAGAGGACGCUGGAGAGCCGGCGGGAGGCGAAGCGGAUCGGUCGCCGGCCAUCGCGAGGAGGGCGGAGGACAAGACAACCUAGGAGAAAAGAGUGGUGCGAGCAAACUUUUUAUUUUGUUUUCUAUAGGGACCACGCGUAACAGACUAGGAAACGUGCACCUCAGCAGCAUAGCGACGGGUGUUGGCCUUCAAUCGCUGGCCCGCCUCGGUUUUCUUCCGAUUCGCUGGACUAUCUCGUGUGUGAGCAAAACAAAAAAAAUACGAAUUUCUUGUAACAACAUUUUUCUCCUCAAAAAGAGGAUUACCACUGGCCUCUGCAUCAAGCAAUCCAUACAACCAUCUUUAUUAAUUAUUCAACAGAGUCCAACAGAGUAGAUACACGGAUAAGCCCAAUGCCAACUUUCUCGCGACCUCAAUCGUACACCUACAAGUCUCAUGGAGUGCCUCGGCGCAUCCACACACACCAUCUAAUCCGGUGGCCACCCCAGGCUGUCGUGAGCCGAGAGGACCAAUCGGUGUAUCAAACCCUCAGCAUACACCGCCUUUGCGCCAUCUUCCACCGUCCCAUCUUCAGGAGAGAUCAAUGCAUAUGCCUUGCCAGGCCCAACUGCCGUCGACGCCACCACGACACCUGACAACACCACUAUCCUGCGCGCGUCCAUCAACAGGCGACCAUCGCCGAGAGCCCGCUGCCCCAUGGCAUCGAGACUCGUCGUUGUUGACGCGUCAGAUGCCACGCCGCUCCACCGUUGUAGUCGUUCACUGGUCCCUCUAGCCGAUGAACCCCUCCAAGAAUGAUUGCCCCCAAUGGGGGAACGACACGUGAGCGCCGCCAUCAUCCUAUCAAUUGAUCAAGGGUUUCCCACGAAGGUAGCGGAAGGAGGUGGAACUUCACCUCCUCGAUGAUGCCUUCAAGAAGUAAAAUGGCGCCUGGGGCGUCACCAUCACCAGCUUCAGCCACCGGCCUAAGACAAGGUUUUCACCCGGAUCUUGUCCCACGAGAAUCCAUCCCACAUCUUGUGCAUCGGCCAAACCACCUUCAAACCCCAGAUCUGGCUGCCCAGAUCCGGCGACCACCCACAUCAACACUGCCACCGUGGAAGCCUGGCACACCGGCCACUACCGGAGUGCACCACCACUGGAGCCUGGGAGGAGGGCCGCCCCUCCACCUCGCAAAACCGUGAGAGACGCCAGGAAAGAUCCCGCUCCUGCUCGUCACCGUCACUGAUCGGAUCCUAUCCGGAGCCAAACACUAGAUCACCGGCGCAGAUCCGCCUUGGAUGGGGGCACCACCACACCAUGCCGCCACGGGCAGCCUUAGCUUCACUUGCCGCCGCCGACCAGGGCCGUCGCCCUGGGAUCCGUGUCGGACGUCGUCGCCGCCAUCGGCCGUGCUUAGCCCCACCCCAUCCUCUGGCCGAUCUCCACCCGCACCACCACAAGCGUCACUGCCAAGAGCCGCCGCACCGCCAUGGAACGAUGGAGAGGCCACACCCAGCGGAUCCAGCGCCCUCGCCGCCGUUCAACCUAGGAAGGAGGAGCAACCUUCCGCCGCCGCCGUCAAACGCAUGAGGUUUGCCGGGCGCUGUCCCCCGGCGACGACGGAGGGGAAGGAGNNNNNNNNNNNNNNNNNNNNNNNNNNNNNNNNNNNNNNNNNNNNNNNNNNNNNNNNNNNNNNNNNNNNNNNNNNNNNNNNNNNNNNNNNNNNNNNNNNNNNNNNNNNNNNNNNNNNNNNNNNNNNNNNNNNNCCAAAUAAGGUUCUGGAUUUAUAUCAAAAUUUUCCGAUGAUAAAAGACAUGAAAAAAGAAGAUUUUUUAUUUUCUUUGCCGGUGAAAAAAAAGUUACAACAAGGUUCUAACACAGCCAAGUAAAACUCGAUCCCCAGCACAAGCCGAAGGUGUGCCAUUGCUGGCGCUCCAUGCUAAAGCCGGCCUGAUAUUGUACCCUACAAUCGGCGGGAAAGUCCUCAUGCUAAAGUUCAGUUGGAACAAUGCUCCGAGAAAAGACCAACAUCAUAGAAGCCUUGCAGUUCAACAAUGGUCUGUCAAUAAGGGAGAUUGACUUCUCUGCUCGUUAAGUUCAAAGUUACUAGACUGUCUAGGUGUUACUCAGAAAAAAAAAGACAGUACACGGAUGGGCCGACGAUUGAAGCCCAACACCCGUCGCUGGCAGGCUCUGCCCGUUUCCUAGUCUGUCCCGGGCGUUAAAGCGUGGAAUUAGAGGCCUCCUCCUCCCUUUUUUUUUACUCAAAAAAAAAGGCCUCCUCCUCCCUAGUAGAAAACAAAAUAAAAAGUGUUCAUCGUCUAAAUUGCGGGAGAGACCCAAGGAAAAUUUCCCCACACCACUCUUUUGUCUUUUCUCCUCGCGAUGGCCGGCGACAGAUCCCCUUCACCUCCCGCCGCCUCCCCGGCGUCCUCUUGGAGUGAAGCUAAAACUCAGUGAGAUUUCCUCCCCUUCACCGCGCGCCCUGCCAUUGUUUAGUUUCUUUUAGUUUGUGAAAGAACUAGCUCAAUCAACGUUGAGACAGUAGGCCCAAGCCUCAGGUUUAACUGCGUCCAUGGAGGCUGCAGCCCCAGUCCCGAGGGACGUAUCGGCUCCAUGGAGUCUCUUUCUCUUUGGCGGUGAGGCGGUUUGGUACGAGUUGUUUAUUUUGAUGCUUUGGUUGAAGUUUAUCCAGGAACUGGUUGUGGCGUGCGGUCAGCUUUGCACCCAGCCUGCCAGUGAUACAACCAUUAGUCAUUAUUUUGCAAAGCUCUUGGAACAGAUUCUAACUGGCUCUGUGGGUUUAUUUAUUUGGUGAUCUAGAGUUGUGAUGUAUGCUCUAAAGUCUAAACAUGCUUCGUUGAAUCUGUAUCGUGAUGUUUAAGAUUGAUCAUUGAUAUUUGUUUUCAUAAACCUUUCCAAGCCUCCAAUUUGGUCACAGUAGAAGUUGACUAAAGCAUGGAUAUAAGCUGUUUUACCUAGGGUGGUGAUGCAUGCUGAAACAGUCGAUUCAUAAUUUCAUAUGAUGCAUACUGAUUUUCAGAAAACACUCGUGUUGUUAUGUUUAUUUAGACCAACCCAAUAGCUUUUAUUGGAGCUACAUAUGUGAUCGUCUUUUGUAGGUCAUAAUGCAGAUUAGCUCAGCUGCUACGCAUAGUGAACCCCACAUCAUCUGUACUUCUAGAACCUGGUUCUAGUAUUAAUUUAUUACCCAUACACAAAUACUAUAAUCAAAGGUUCAUUGUGAAUCAAGCAAGGUUUAUUGAACUUUCUCCUAUAUCCAAGGAAAGAGUGCUUAGUUUAUUGGAGUAAUACAAGUUCAGUUAGUUGACAAUCAGUUUAUUGCAUUUUGCCUCUUGUAUUUGGUACAUGUGUAGAUUACAUUAGUAACCAUGUUUUGCUGACCGUAUUCUGGUAUUUUUAUCUAGGAAGCAUAAACUUGGAAGAUUGUAUCCACUCGACUUUCAAGGUAGUAUAGAAUUUGCAAGAAAACAAGAUGAAGAACGAGCUCAACUAUUCCAAGCACGAGGAUAUUGGCCACUUGACUAUCAAGCUAAUACACGAUAUGCAGACAAACAAGCUGAAAAACAAACACAAUCAGUUGAAGCGCGAGGGCAACAUACUUAUGCUUCUAAAAAGGAAGAAGCUGCUGCAAAUGCGAAACGAUAGAUGAGCGAGGAGGCGAUGGUGGCUUUCAGAAGAUACAUUGAGAGCAAAGAUGGUGGUACGUGGCAGCAUGGCGCUGAGGUGUAUCAGUGGCGACCGCGACGUGUACAGCUGUUUGCGCGCAGGGAGGAGGUGACGUUGGGCGCCGUGGUGGCGUCGACGAUAGCUGGGCCGACCAAGGUUGAUGCAUCAGUACAGUUCUGAAGAUGGAGCGGUGGCAGUUGGCGGCGGCGGCCUCUGAGAGCACGCCGGACCAGUGUGUGCCCCAGACCCGGCAAGUGGCUAGGUUGGGGUCUCAGGUCUUAGAUGUUAGGCUUGACUGCAAUUUCUGUUUGGUAUUAGGCCCAGGCUAUCUGCGCCCCUUCAUCAACUGGAUAGGUGUAGCGACAGUUUGUUGUUUAGACGGUGGCUUUAGUCUUACUGUUGUAUGACUUUGUAAGGUCUUGUGAGAAUAAUUAAUAAAGUGGCCGUAUGCAUCGCCCAGAUGCAGAGGCCGGGGGUCAUCCUCCUUUUCUAAAAAAAAAUUGAGAGCAAAGAUGAACUUAAGGUUCUCCAUUUCUGCUCUAAAUCAUUUUUAUUGUUGGGACUGUGGAGAAGUAUGACUAACACUUGUUUCAUCUUAGGGAGUUGAUUAUGAAUUUGACGAGCUUGUCCAUCAAUGUUUCCAUGUGGAGCAUUAUUUGAAGACAUUUCAUCACUUCAACUUUACUGUCAAGACAAAGAAGCCUAGCUCAGCUGAUUGGACAUCGGCAAUGUACUUCGCUCAGGUCAAAUCGAUAUGCAUGAUAAAAUGCUAUGUCUGUUAUCCUUUGGAGCAAGAUCAAUAUGGUAUGGAAAAUUUUCACCUUAUGACUUGUAGUGGACCUGAAAAAAUUCUAACAUUGUAAUUUACUUUGGCAGGUGAAUGUUAUGCAUGUAAGAACCAAGGAAUGGGUGAACUGAAGCACCCAUUAGAAGGGGUGUACGAUAUGGGCAGGGAAGAUACACAAUUUCCCUUGUAUUAUGAUGAGGACAGUGACUCUGAAUUCGAUCCAACAACGGGAGGGAGUGAAUCCUCUGAUGAUGAUAGCCUUGUCCUUUAUUCUAGUUAAGUUAACUUUGGCUCUUGAUCUAUUGAUUCAAGUCAAAUUGCUAUUAGUUGAUAUGAGAAUGCCAAUGUGUAAUGUACUAGUAGUAGAUAGUACUCCAUCUGAAAAAUGUCGAGUAGCAGCGCAGCAAUGGCUUGUCAGCUGGUUGGGAUUUAUUUUUGGGGGGUUUUAUUUAGAGGCUGGGUGGGACAUGGGAGGUGCUAUUAUGUGUUGUCGGUUCUAAUGUCACACUGGUAUUUGCUUUGAUGCUACUGGUUUGGUUUAGUCUGCUUAAAUUCUUGCCUUCACAGCUGGUGAGCUGCAAGUUUUUAUUUACUUAUUUUUUCUUGUUUCGACAUUCCGCGCCCAUAGUGACAAAUGGCAGGCAGGGAGCAAUUACCAUCCCAUUCUUAUCGCUGGGGCACUUCCAUCCACGCUUACCACCACUUGUUUACAACCUAGCGCUGCAUCCUGUACGCUGGCCGUUUUGACCAUCUUGGUAUGCUCAACCUGGUAAUGGAUGAGUAUACCGCGCUUGUCAUCUACACACGACCAUCUUCAAAAUCAUGACGGAGGAGGGUCGCUAGCUCCAUCGGCCAGAGUAUAUCAUUCAACAGCGCCAUAUGGGUCGAUCAACUCCGCCGCCUUCCGUGUCCCCUUCAAAAUGCUCCUCUGUGCAUACGAUACGAUGCUCCAAGCCUGACUUCAGGCUUGUCUGUUUGGGCUUUAGGGUAAGACGGUGCCAAACCUUUGCAACCUAAUAUCAAUGUCUUAUCGGAACAAUAAGACAAGGAAGUAGAUGAUCUAUUGUAUACUACCUAGAUACCUGUGUCAAUUAAUUCUGGACGGAUGAAGUAGGAGUACAUUGUUCCCCCCAAGAAAAGUAUUCCAAGGUUGUUCCCCCCAGCGGCUGAGCACAACCGUUCCUUCCAAUGUAAAAUCUGAACCUCCGUAACUUAUCUUCCAUUGAAACAAAACACUGCUACAAAGCCAUUCUCUACAUAACUGCGAACCAAUAUUAAAUUCACAAAGAGCUAUGCGUCACACACAAGCAGAUUCCUGGUGCAAGAAAACAACACACUAUAUUGAGAGGUAUUAUCAGUAUGCCCAAAAUCCAACCAUGUUGGUAACAUGAACAGACAAAACAGUAAGGCAAUACAACACACAGCAAAGCUGCAUCUCCCUCCGUCUUCGUACAAAAGUCGCGUUCUCACCAAGACCUAUAUGAGCUGCAUCAACAAGCACGCACCACUGCUCCACUUCUAUGGGCUACGGGAUACAAUCCACCGAGAGCCAGAAGCUCGUUCGCAACCUUUAUAGCCGGUACGCAAAGCGUAC